Molecule: ribosomal RNA, 523 nt
Filed under: uncultured bacterium
Lineage: Bacteria
Description: bacterial SSU rRNA
Rfam family: Bacterial small subunit ribosomal RNA
Source: RNAcentral
UUUGACAACUCUAGAGAUAGAGUCUUCCCCUUCGGGGGACAAAGUGACAGGUGGUGCAUGGUUGUCGUCAGCUCGUGUCGUGAGAUGUUGGGUUAAGUCCCGCAACGAGCGCAACCCUUAAGCUUAGUUGCCAGCAUUAAGUUGGGCACUCUAAGUUGACUGCCGGUGACAAACCGGAGGAAGGUGGGGAUGACGUCAAAUCAUCAUGCCCCUUAUGAUUUGGGCUACACACGUGCUACAAUGGACAAUACAAAGGGCAGCUAAACCGCGAGGUCAUGCAAAUCCCAUAAAGUUGUUCUCAGUUCGGAUUGUAGUCUGCAACUCGACUACAUGAAGCUGGAAUCGCUAGUAAUCGUAGAUCAGCAUGCUACGGUGAAUACGUUCCCGGGUCUUGUACACACCGCCCGUCACACCACGAGAGGCUGUAACACCCGAAGCCGGUGGAGUAACCAUUUAUGGAGCUAGCCGUCGAAGGUGGGACAAAUGAUUGGGGUGAAGUCGUAACAAGGUAGCCGUAUCGGAA